Molecule: ribosomal RNA, 510 nt
Filed under: uncultured bacterium
Lineage: Bacteria
Description: partial 16S ribosomal RNA
Rfam family: Bacterial small subunit ribosomal RNA
Source: RNAcentral
GACGAACGCUGGCGGCGUGCUUAACACAUGCAAGUCGAACGAAGAGCGACGGAAGCUUGCUUCUCUCAAUCUUAGUGGCGAACGGGUGAGUAACGCGUAAUCAACCUGCCCUUCAGAGGGGGACAACAGUUGGAAACGACUGCUAAUACCGCAUACGAUCUAAUCUCGGCAUCGAGGAUGGAUGAAAGGUGGCCUCUACAUGUAAGCUAUCACUGAAGGAGGGGAUUGCGUCUGAUUAGCGAGUUGGAGGGGUAACGGCCCACCAAGGCGAUGAUCAGUAGCCGGUCUGAGAGGAUGAACGGCCACAUUGGGACUGAGACACGGCCCAGACUCCUACGGGAGGCAGCAGUGGGGAAUCUUCCGCAAUGGACGAAAGUCUGACGGAGCAACGCCGCGUGAGUGAUGACGGCCUUCGGGUUGUAAAGCUCUGUUAAUCGGGACGAAAGGCCUUCUUGCGAAUAGUGAGAAGGAUUGACGGUACCGGAAUAGAAAGCCACGGCUAACUACGUG